Molecule: long non-coding RNA, 672 nt
Organism: Prunus dulcis (almond)
Lineage: Eukaryota; Viridiplantae; Streptophyta; Magnoliopsida; Rosales; Rosaceae
Exons: 2
Source: RefSeq, a predicted model, not a curated record
CCCCCUCUCUCUGUCUACCUCUCUGCUCCUCUCAGUCAUCAGUUCAAACCCUAGAAAAUUGGGGAUUUUUCCAAUAUCAAAGGAUUGACCAAUCUUUCAGUCACAGCUUAGAAUCCAUCCUAUCAUUCAACUCAAUUGUGUUAUCCUUUUCCUUUAUUACAUUCAUUAGUAUUAGCUUGGCAACAAGGUCAAUAGAACCUGUUAACAAAUAUUUAAUAACCAUUAGAAGCUUUCAUCCACUGCUUCUGGGAAAUGCCUCCCCGAGUUGUUUAUUGCGAACUAUGUAUAGGUACAUGGGUCUGUAAUUAUUUUUGUUGAUGAACAGAUAGUGGAAGUAAUGACCCAGAUUGUGGUUGAAAAAGUGCUUAGUUCAUAUUUCAAUAUGUAGGCAUAUGUUGAAAAUUUUGGAGCGGAGCAAGGGAUGUGGAGGUGGAUCUUAUUUGGGAUAGGCUUCGUUUUUGGGAUUCCCUUUGGCCGUUGGUAUCUUCAGAAGUUAAGGAUUGUUCCUUUCAAGGUAUAUUGUAUUAUUAGAAUUCUGCUGUCAACUACAAGUUUUGUUCGUCUAGUGCCAUGUAUCUUUGUUAAGUUGUUUACCUAGUAUAGCUAGACCAGUGGACAACUUGUCCCUUGUAUUGUUAUGUUCUCUUCUUAAUGAAAUUAUGUUUCUUAUUA